RNAcentral lists this ribosomal RNA (422 nucleotides) under uncultured bacterium. RNAcentral describes it as "bacterial SSU rRNA". It matches the Rfam family "Bacterial small subunit ribosomal RNA", at positions 355 to 774 of the family's 1533-position model. The record is from RNAcentral.
UGAGGAAUAUUGGUCAAUGGGCGCAAGCCUGAACCAGCCAUGCCGCGUGCAGGAUGAAGCAUCUAUGGUGUGUAAACUGCUUUUGUACGGGGAGAAACCACCCCUCGUGAGGGGUAUUGACGGUACCGUAAGAAUAAGGAUCGGCUAACUCCGUGCCAGCAGCCGCGGUAAUACGGAGGAUCCAGGCGUUAUCCGGAAUCAUUGGGUUUAAAGGGUCCGUAGGCGGGUCUGUAAGUCAGUGGUGAAAUCUCCCCGCUCAACGGGGAAACUGCCAUUGAUACUGCAGGUCUUGAAUUAUUGGGAAGUAACUAGAAUAUGUAGUGUAGCGGUGAAAUGCUUAGAGAUUACAUGGAAUACCGAUUGCGAAGGCAGCUGGCUACACAUAUAUUGACACUGAGUCACGAAAGCGUGGGGAUCAAACA